UCCGUAGGGUGCGAUCGUUAAUCGGAAUUACUGGGCGUAAAGCGUGCGCAGGCGGUUUCGUAAGACAGGCGUGAAAUCCCCGGGCUCAACCUGGGAACUGCGCUUGUGACUGCGAGGCUAGAGUGUGUCAGAGGGAGGUGGAAUUCCACGUGUAGCAGUGAAAUGCGUAGAGAUGUGGAGGAACACCGAUGGCGAAGGCAGCCUCCUGGGAUAACACUGACGCUCAUGCACGAAAGCGUGGGGAGAAAACAGG
RNAcentral lists this ribosomal RNA (253 nucleotides) under uncultured bacterium. RNAcentral's name for it is "partial 16S ribosomal RNA". It matches the Rfam family "Bacterial small subunit ribosomal RNA", at positions 524 to 776 of the family's 1533-position model. The record is from RNAcentral.